GAAAAGAAAUUCCCCCCAACUUGCAAUUGAAAUUUGUUUGCCAACUCAAACACGAACAUGGGGCACCGGAGCCCCAAAAAACUUGGUCGAAAUUAGACGUGGCAAGCAAGUAAUGGAGACACCAGAAAGGAAAUGCUUAUUAUUUGCAUAAAUUCCACACAUACUCGUGCACAAAGCCGAAAGACCAAAGUGACAGGCUAAAGAGAGGCGGUGAGUUGAAAGAGCGAAAGAAAUGCAAAUUGUGUUGGCAAAUUUAAAUGUCAGUCAACAAUUCAGUUGUUAAACUCGCAUUACCCACAAAGCCAUAGGCACUGCUGGCCGUGCAUACAAAAAAAAAGAAAAAAAUGAAUGGAUCUUGUUACUCAUACGCCCCGUGGUCGGUUUUCCUAACACUCGUUACUCAUACGCCCCAUGGUCCAUUUUCUUUGGACUUUUGUCUUUUGCUUUCUGCGCUUAAUCGAAAAGCGUGCGUGACUCCGUCUAAAGGAAAAUGGGGUUGGGGGUGAAAGAAAGGCCGGCUUAUCAUUUUUCGGAAAGAAAACUUUCGACAACUUUUCACUUUUGUUAGGUAUUGCCGCAGCAGCUUUCGGUUUUGCCAUUCGAUGUCAAUUUAAAGUUUCUCCUCUACUUCCCUUUCAUCUCGUUCUUUUCUAUUGGUUUUUUUUUUUUUUGUUUUGUUUUUGAUUUUUUUUCUUUUGCCUUUUUUGUGCCGAAAUAAAAGUUUUGCGUGGCAAAAAGUUGGAGCAAUUGUGAGAGGUUGCCGUGCUGCUGCAUCCGGCAUAAUCGAUUCGCUUUUGGCUUUUUCAUUUUAAUAACUUUUGCAGCAGCCACGGCAAAAUAACAAGCACUGCAACAAUUACGUGCCGCAAGUGCAAGAGCAGCAAACAAGCGGCAAACAACGAAACAAAACUGCACGGAGCUGAGCUGAGCUGCACCGAACCGAACCGAACCGAAAGCAGUGGCAAUCGACAACAAUGGCAACAAAGGCGGGCCACAAAACCUGGAUCAGGAGCUGUGCGCCAAACUGCGAACUGGGUUAAACACUUGGCCGUAUUUUCCCACCACCUGCUCGCUCACCCAUCCGACCCGUUGCCCGGGCUUCCCUGGAUUUCCGUGAGCUUCCCAGAGUUUCUCCUCCUCGUGUCCCUUGACAUUUGGCCGGGGCAACUAACUAAGUUGCCAAUGCCGUUACUGUUGCUCCUCCGCGGGUGGAGGUGCCACUGCCACUGCCACAGCGCGAUGCAUUCAAGUGGAUGUUACCUUGCUCAUAAUUGAGGCACGCGCUAAGCGAAACAAAUAACAAGGGGAGCCGCACAAGCAGCUCAAGCACUGAUUGCUGCCCCAAAAACCCUUUAAAUUCAAGUUAGGCACUCAGGAAAAGAGGUGCUCAGAAUCAAGAGCCCGCGCCAAAAAUAUAUUUAAAUGUAAUUUAUUACUAUUCAAUUUGCCCAACUUCUUGUAGUCAUUUGAUGUAUUUAUUUAUUCUAAAGAAUAUUUUCUAAAAUACCAUUUUAUACUUUAUUUAUAUAUAGAUAUAGAGGAGAGACCCUAAUCGCAUAAAAACGGCUAAAAGAUAACUAUGCUUCUAUCAAAAUAUUAAGGGCUGAUAAAACAAGGUUGCGUACACACUGCAGAAAAGCCAGUAAUUUUCCCCAAAACACGUACUCGAUUCAUAAGCCAACAUAACACAUCGCUGGCACACUUAUGUGUGUGUAGUUUCUCUACUCACCGAAAGUUAAUUUCCGCUUGGGCGACGCACCUGCAACGAAAAUGGAAUGAAUGAAACUCCGACCACCGCAGGGCUCCGAAUCUCACGAUUGGCAGGCCAAUUAGGUGAAUUCAAGGCAAAAGUUUCAUUUUUUGCGAGCCGCCGCAAACAACGCAUUUCA
Molecule: long non-coding RNA, 1889 nt
Organism: Drosophila simulans
Lineage: Eukaryota; Metazoa; Arthropoda; Insecta; Diptera; Drosophilidae
Exons: 3
Source: RefSeq, a predicted model, not a curated record